Molecule: ribosomal RNA, 187 nt
Filed under: uncultured rumen bacterium
Lineage: Bacteria
Description: partial 16S ribosomal RNA
Rfam family: Bacterial small subunit ribosomal RNA
Source: RNAcentral
UACGGGAGGCAGCAGUGAGGAAUAUUGGUCAAUGGGCGGGAGCCUGAACCAGCCAAGUAGCGUGCAGGAAGACGGCCCUAUGGGUUGUAAACUGCUUUUAUACAGGGAUAAAGUGCGCCACGUGUGGUGUAUUGCAGGUACUGUAUGAAUAAGGACCGGCUAAUUCCGUGCCAGCAGCCGCGGUAAU